Molecule: non-coding RNA, 70 nt
Organism: Pyrenochaeta sp. MPI-SDFR-AT-0127
Lineage: Eukaryota; Fungi; Ascomycota; Dothideomycetes; Pleosporales; Cucurbitariaceae
Source: the annotation of a GenBank genome assembly
GGUUAGAGCGUAGUGCUAAUAGCUUCUGCUUGAUACGCUAAGGCCGCGAGUUCGACCCUCGUACUGACCA